RNAcentral lists this ribosomal RNA (872 nucleotides) under Prorocentrum cf. fukuyoi. Its description in RNAcentral is "partial large subunit ribosomal RNA". It matches the Rfam family "Eukaryotic large subunit ribosomal RNA", at positions 22 to 852 of the family's 3401-position model. The record is from RNAcentral. Lineage: Eukaryota; Dinophyceae; Prorocentrales; Prorocentraceae.
UACCCGCUGAAUUUAAGCAUAUGAGUAAGCGGAGGACAAGAAACUAAACAGGAUUCUAUCAGUAAUGGCGAGUGAAGAGAGAAGAGCUCACUUUGGAAAUUGGGGCUUCUGUGGCCUUGAAUUGUAAUCUCGAAGUGUGCUGCCAGUGGAGGUGCAGAUGCUGACCUCUUGGAAGAGAGCAUCAGUGAGGGUGAGAGUCCUGUCUGUCUUCUGCAGCUCUCCGCACACGGUGUGCGUUCUGCGAGUCAUGCUCCUUGGAAGUGGAGCGUAAAGAAGGUGGUAAAUUUCAUCUCAAGCAGAAUAUUUGGUUGAGACCGAUAGAGAACAAGUAUCGUGAGGGAAAGAUGAAAAGGACUUUGAAAAGAGAGUUAGAAGUGCCUGAAAUUGCUGAAGAUGAAGAGAAUGGAAUUAGCACAGUCUUGCGAGAUUGUCACGUGGUAAAGUGCACCAGCAACAUGUGUUGCUUCUCGCCUGGUGCGUCCGUUCCAGCUUGCAAUUGAGGAAACUGCUGGGGAUGUGAUGCUCAGCCUGCAGGCGGGCAGAUGUUCUCUGCACAACUCACUCGUUCGCGAACUGAAGCUUGACUGUCCGGUCGCAGCACCUGGGAUCUGUAAUGUGCCUGUCGGCGCGUGCUGCCUGGAUUGUUCCUGGUAUCGGGACGAUGAACUGGUUCCUUUCAACCCGUCUUGAAACACGGACCAAGGAGUUUCAUGUGUGUGUGAGCCCACGGGCGGUGAAUGCCCGCCGGCGUAGUGAAAGCGACUGCUGGGAUAUGUGCGUCAGCAGCCAACCUCUUAAUUGAGACAGGCUUGAGAUGGAGCACAUAUGUGAGGACCCGAAAGAUGGUGAACUAUGCUUGAGAAGGGCAAAGU